This 136-nucleotide ribosomal RNA is filed under the name Pogona vitticeps (central bearded dragon). Lineage: Eukaryota; Metazoa; Chordata; Lepidosauria; Squamata; Agamidae. The record is from RNAcentral.
ACCUAUGGCCAUACCACCCUAAACACACCUAUCUCGUAUGAUCUCGGAAGCUAAGCAGGGUUGGGCCUUGUUAGUACUUGGACGGAUGGUAUAUAAUUAGUGUUUCAAAUCCUAUAGAAAACUGAAGUCUUGAAUC